Molecule: non-coding RNA, 175 nt
Filed under: Sporosarcina newyorkensis
Lineage: Bacteria; Bacillati; Bacillota; Bacilli; Caryophanales; Caryophanaceae
Description: Lysine sequence
Rfam family: Lysine riboswitch aptamer
About the family: Riboswitches are metabolite binding domains within certain messenger RNAs that serve as precision sensors for their corresponding targets.
Source: RNAcentral
GACUUACGUAGAGGUUGCAUUGUUUAUAAGUAUUUUGCGAGAGAGUGACGUCGAUGACCGCAAUUGAAAGGAGACAAUGCCGAAGUUUGAGAAGGGUCAACUUCUCAGGUUGGGGUCAUUUCGAAGAGGAAUGAUCUUGUCAUACAGCGGUAAUGUAUGGAGCGCUACAACAGCC